UACAGAGGGUGCAAGCGUUGUUCGGAAUUAUUGGGCGUAAAGGGCGCGUAGGCGGUGCGGUAAGUCUGUAGUGAAAUCUCUGGGCUCAACUCAGAGUCUGCUGCAGAAACUGCCGUGCUUGAGUGUGGGAGAGGUGAGUGGAAUUCCCGGUGUAGUGGUGAAAUGCGUAGAGAUCGGGAGGAACACCAGUGGCGAAGGCGGCUACCUGGACCAGCACUGACACUGAGGCACGAAAGCGUGGGGAGCAAACAGG
This 253-nucleotide ribosomal RNA is filed under the name uncultured bacterium. RNAcentral's name for it is "partial 16S ribosomal RNA". It matches the Rfam family "Bacterial small subunit ribosomal RNA", at positions 524 to 776 of the family's 1533-position model. The record is from RNAcentral.